GACGAACGCUGGCGGCGUGCUUAACACAUGCAAGUCGAACGGAAAGGCCCUGCUUUUGUGGGGUGCUCGAGUGGCGAACGGGUGAGUAACACGUGAAUAACCUGCCCUUGACUUUGGGAUAACUUCAGGAAACUGGGGCUAAUACCGGAUAGGAGCUCCUGCUGCAUGGUGGGGGUUGGAAAGUUUCGGCGGUUGGGGAUGGACUCGCGGCUUAUCAGCUUGUUGGUGGGGUAGUGGCUUACCAAGGCUUUGACGGGUAGCCGGCCUGAGAGGGUAACCGGCCACAUUGGGACUGAGAUACGGCCCAGACUCCUACGGGAGGCAGCAGUGGGGAAUAUUGCACAAUGGGCGGAAGCCUGAUGCAGCAACGCCGCGUGCGGGAUGACGGCCUUCGGGUUGUAAACCGCUUUCGCCUGUGACGAAGCGUGAGUGACGGUAAUGGGUAAAGAAGCACCGGCUAACUACGUG
Molecule: ribosomal RNA, 468 nt
Filed under: uncultured bacterium
Lineage: Bacteria
Description: partial 16S ribosomal RNA
Rfam family: Bacterial small subunit ribosomal RNA
Source: RNAcentral